Molecule: long non-coding RNA, 262 nt
Filed under: Homo sapiens (human)
Lineage: Eukaryota; Metazoa; Chordata; Mammalia; Primates; Hominidae
Description: HSALNT0297856
Source: RNAcentral
UCCUGUCUGUCUUCUCUGCACUGGGAGCAGCUCUCCUGCCAUAGCCCCUCACCCCGUAAAAAUGUAUGCCUGCUCCAAAUUCAUCUCCACUCCCUCCUUGGUCAAGAGCACCUCACAGCUGCUGAGCCAUCCACUAUCUGCAGUGGUGUUGAAAUGACCGGAGACAAUGGCAGAUGAGAGUCUCAGCAGCUUGGCAGUCUCAUGUCCCCUUACCUCAUCAUUGGUUAUGCCAGGAACGCUUCUCUGAAGCAGGAGCUGUUCU